ACUCACAAUAUGGAUACAUUUUCCCCAUUUUUCCUUGUUUCGCUUCUCUUAUUGUUUUCUUGACUUAGCAUUUUUGCUUCACAGAACGCAACUCAAAACAAAAGUGAUGAAUCUAUACUUUUUGUCUUAAAAUCCCACAUCACUUCGGAUCCUUCCAAUAUUUUGAAAAAUAAUUGGACAAGUGGAACCUCGUUUUGCACAUGGAUAGGAGUUACUUGUGAUUCACUUCGUAGUAGGGUGACUAAAUUAGAUAUCUCUGUUAUGGAACUCGAAGGAAGCAUUCCACAGGAAAUCGGAAAUCUUUCUUCUCUUGUUUUUCUAGAUUUGAGUUGGAACUCUUUUCAUGGUACAAUACCAUCCACCGUUGGGAAUCUAUCAAAUCUGCAGGUCCUAUACCUCUCGUCCAACAAAUUAAAUGGUACAAUACCAUCCACCAUUGGGAAUCUAUCAAAUCUGCAGUUACUAUAUCUCUCUUCCAAUGAAUUAAAUGUUAUAUUGGAUCUUCUAUCUUCUCAACAUUAACAAAUGAAUCUCAUAAAGUUUCAGUGUCCAAUACCAUUCACCAUUGGAAAUUUACCAUAUUUAGUUUCAUUAGAACUUUCUUCCAACAAAUUAAAUGGCCCAAUACCAUCCACCAUUGGCAAUCUAUCAAAUUUGGAGUAUUUAUUGCUCUCUUCCAACAGAUUAAAUGGUGAGCUUCCAUUCUCCCUCUGCAACUUGACAUAAAAUCUUUCGAAACUUGAUCAAAUCUGCACGCAUGCAUCUUCUUUUGAACUAGUUUUUUUUAAAUAAUGUUAUCCUUCAAAUGCUCAAUCAUAUAUGCAUUGUCGAUCACCCAAAGUAAAUGCCCCUAUAGUGUAGCAUGUCAUGAUUAGUACUUUGUUUGCUACACCACAAACAAGUAGUUUUUCUUUGUCUGAACUGUAGAAGAGGAAAUUGCCUGUUUCUAGUUCAUUAGUUCUUAAUUUUACUAUGUUUGUUAAUGCAAACUUGCUUUAAAGUUGCACACUAGAAGGCUUGUGGCUUUUGCGAUAAAUAAGCUAAUUUAUUACACGUUAUUUUGUUCCUUCCCUGCAUAUUUUAUGCCUUAUUUAUAAGUACUAGCAGGAAGAACGUGCGAUGCACGUUGAACACGUAUGUUUUUUACUAUGUAAAUAAAAUUCAUAGAUAUUUUUAUAUAGUUUUGAAUAUUUGUAUUAAUUCAUUUGACUAUAAUUGUAAUUUAAAAAAGGAACCAAUGCAACGAUUAACGAAUAAAUUUAAAUGUAAUAAAGUAAUAUUCAUAAUAUACCUCUAAAUAAAUAUGCAAAAAAAUCUAUGAAAAACAUCCUAAAUUAUAUAUGUACGGAGCAAGACGAAUUUUAAACAUUUUCUUAUUUGAUUUUGACGAUUGAGGAUCUUUUGUUCUUAUUUUUGGUCAGCAGCAGAUCGUCGUCACUUGUAAUCUCAAUGUAGUCAUCAAACUUUUUCUUGGUUACCCUUCUUUUUUUCUUUUGCGAUUCUGUGGGCUGCAACUCCAUCGUAGAUUUUUUCUUUCUAGACGGGAUUUUCUUUUUUGAUUUCUUGGGUGAAUGUUUCUUUUCCUCCACUUGAGUCGGCUCUUCUUCAAUAUCUCCAACAUCGAUGUUUUUCAUUGGUUGCAUUUUUUGGAUUGCAUUUGCUACGAUAUUGAGAUUUCCUCGUUGAACGAAUUUUAUAUACUUGAGCAUCGUCAUGAAGCGCAUUUCCGUGUACGCUUGUGUGCUUAAUCUUCUAUAGUAUGUGGAGUCUGUUUCACCAUGUGAAAAUAUAUAAUUGUUAUAAUUACGUAAUAUCGAAUUUUGUAAUAUUAACAAUUUAAAUUAUAGCAAGUGUUCAAGUAAGAAAUCUUAAUUUACCUCUUUGAUUGAAGAAAAAUAUUCAUCCACAGAGCAUCCUACAUAUACCUCUGCCGCUUGAUCGAAUAGUGUAACAUGUGCAUUGCAGUCGCCUUGUAUAACAUUUAUUGUGAAUUUGUAUCUAGAAUUAUAUAAAAUGAUAAAAAUUAUUAUAUUUUUGUUAUUGUGUCAUUAACUAAUUUUCAAUUGGUAGUAGUUUUUAAUUUGAUAAUUACGUAUUUACGUGGGCGACGUCUCAAAAACUUCUUCAUUGCAUUUUUUGCAUAUUGCACUCUCAUCAAUUUUGGAGAAAGAUGUGUUGCAAUUUUACAAGAAUACCUCUUUUUUUGUGCGGUUUCUUUGAAUGUUGUGCAUUUUAUACCAUUAACCGUCAAUGAAUGUUGGAAAGAGGUUGGUCCUCUAACAAGAUUCAACAAUAAUUUUCCGUAGUACAUUUCUCCUUCAAUCGGACUUACAACAUUUAUGGUACAACCCAUUGGUUGUCUAAGUCUGCAUUCCGAACACGUACAGUUGAUCCAUUUUUUCUUCUUCUGUGAAUUGGAUUUCCAUUUUUACUUUGUUGUAUGUUUUUACAAUAUGGUCGUGGAUAAUGGCAUUUGCAUUUUCCUUUCACCAUACAAUGAUUAUUUAGAUUUUUCUCUCAACAAGGUCCAUGUAUCAUAUAUUUUUUCACCAAUUCAAACAAUUCAGAAUUAUUUUAUUCAUCGGGAAGUUCGACACUUACAAACUUAUUUAGGAAGUUCGGCACCUACAAACUUAUCUAUUUCACUUGUCGUAUUCAACUUGACUUGAAAAUUAUCAGCAUGUGGACAUGUGGUAACCAUCUUUUUUGAAAUUCAACUACAUCAUGUGCAGCUACAUGUCCAAAAAUUUUCCUCUUGAAUAAUUGAUCUUUCAAGUCUUGCAGUUUUGCUCGAAAUACUCGUGUAGUUAAGUCUGGAUGAUCUUGAGCUGUUUUACUAUCAUAUAAUGCUUCUUGUAUUUCUUUCCACUCUGGAUUGCAAGUCAUUGUAAUGAAUAGAUAUGGUUUUCCAAAUUUUUGUACUAAUGUCAAUGCAUCAAGAUAUCUACGGCACA
RNA transcript from Salvia miltiorrhiza (redroot sage), 2954 nucleotides. It is a transcript of the gene named receptor-like protein 35, with no coding region annotated. The record is from RefSeq and is a predicted model, not a curated record. The transcript is spliced from 6 exons. NCBI's taxonomy places the organism in Eukaryota, Viridiplantae, Streptophyta, Magnoliopsida, Lamiales, Lamiaceae.